Long non-coding RNA from Dermacentor albipictus, 526 nucleotides. RefSeq lists it as uncharacterized. Lineage: Eukaryota; Metazoa; Arthropoda; Arachnida; Ixodida; Ixodidae. The record is from RefSeq and is a predicted model, not a curated record.
GGUACGGUCGAACGAUGUAGGUGUUUCGUGGCGUAUUGUAGCAGCAAUCUAGCUGUUUUUGCUGCUUUUUAUUCUUAUGAUGUGUUGUGGCUAAUUCAUCGAUGCAAGCCAACUAGCAAGGUGUUUGCGAAGCUCACGGUGCUUUCUUCGUUCCGUGAUGUGAGCGUUUCUGGAACUUCUCUGCCAGCUGCGAUGCAGUGUCGUGUGAAGUGAUUCAAUAUUGGCACUGUCCGUGUUUUAAACUGCACAAGUAGCGAAUAGCUGUUCCUCAAGACUGCUAUGCACCGACGUUUUCUCUAUCUCCAGACUAUAAUAAAAGGGUUGGUUCAUUCUGCAAACAUUCUGGACAUCAGCUCUGAAUGUAAAGAAUACAUUAUAAUCGAUGCUUCCUAGAGAUUAUGCGACAGCUGCCAUGCCGUAAUCAACUAAGUCAUCAUUAAUUUAUUAAUUUUAUUGAUUUGUCUACUACUUCUUUCACAAUUCUGUGUGAAUAUUUUUUGUGUGAAUAAACUUCUUUCAGUGCAAA